GCUUACUGCCACACCGCCUGGUUCACGCCUGAUCUCGGAAGCUAAGAUAGGUUGGGCCUGGUUAGUACUUGGAUGGGAGACCGCCUGGGAAUACCAGGUGCUGCAAGCU
RNAcentral lists this ribosomal RNA (109 nucleotides) under Scophthalmus maximus (turbot). The record is from RNAcentral. Lineage: Eukaryota; Metazoa; Chordata; Actinopteri; Pleuronectiformes; Scophthalmidae.